GAUUAAGUUAUUAAGGGCGCACGGUGGAUGCCUUGGCACUAGAAGCCGAUGAAGGACGUUACUAACGACGAUAUGCUUUGGGGAGCUGUAAGUAAGCUUUGAUCCAGAGAUUUCCGAAUGGGGAAACCCAGCAUGAGUUAUGUCAUGUUAUCGAUAUGUGAAUACAUAGCAUAUCAGAAGGCACACCCGGAGAACUGAAACAUCUUAGUACCCGGAGGAAGAGAAAGAAAAUUCGAUUCCCUUAGUAGCGGCGAGCGAAACGGGAAGAGCCCAAACCAACAAGCUUGCUUGUUGGGGUUGUAGGACACUCUAUACGGAGUUACAAAGGACGACAUUAGACGAAUCAUCUGGAAAGAUGAAUCAAAGAAGGUAAUAAUCCUGUAGUCGAAAAUGUUGUCUCUCUUGAGUGGAUCCUGAGUACGACGGAGCACGUGAAAUUCCGUCGGAAUCUGGGAGGACCAUCUCCUAAGGCUAAAUACUCUCUAGUGACCGAUAGUGAACCAGUACCGUGAGGGAAAGGUGAAAAGCACCCCGGAAGGGGAGUGAAAUAGAACCUGAAACUGUGUGCUUACAAGUAGUCAGAGCCCGUUAAUGGGUGAUGGCGUGCCUUUUGUAGAAUGAACCGGCGAGUUACGAUUUGAUGCAAGGUUAAGCAGUAAAUGUGGAGCCGUAGCGAAAGCGAGUCUGAAUAGGGCGUUUAGUAUUUGGUCGUAGACCCGAAACCAGGUGAUCUACCCUUGGUCAGGUUGAAGUUCAGGUAACACUGAAUGGAGGACCGAACCGACUUACGUUGAAAAGUGAGCGGAUGAACUGAGGGUAGCGGAGAAAUUCCAAUCGAACCUGGAGAUAGCUGGUUCUCUCCGAAAUAGCUUUAGGGCUAGCCUCAAGUGAUGAUUAUUGGAGGUAGAGCACUGUUUGGACGAGGGGCCCCUCUCGGGUUACCGAAUUCAGACAAACUCCGAAUGCCAAUUAAUUUAACUUGGGAGUCAGAACAUGGGUGAUAAGGUCCGUGUUCGAAAGGGAAACAGCCCAGACCACCAGCUAAGGUCCCAAAAUAUAUGUUAAGUGGAAAAGGAUGUGGCGUUGCCCAGACAACUAGGAUGUUGGCUUAGAAGCAGC
Molecule: ribosomal RNA, 1119 nt
Filed under: Staphylococcus aureus
Lineage: Bacteria; Bacillati; Bacillota; Bacilli; Caryophanales; Staphylococcaceae
Description: partial 23S ribosomal RNA
Rfam family: Bacterial large subunit ribosomal RNA
Source: RNAcentral